RNAcentral lists this ribosomal RNA (403 nucleotides) under uncultured bacterium. Its description in RNAcentral is "partial 16S ribosomal RNA". It matches the Rfam family "Bacterial small subunit ribosomal RNA", at positions 30 to 526 of the family's 1533-position model. The record is from RNAcentral.
AUUGAACGCUGGCGGCAGGCCUAACACAUGCAAGUCGAGCGAGCGGCGGACAGGUGAGUAAUGUAUGGGGACUGCCCGAUAGAGGGGGAUAACUACUGGAAACGGUGGCUAAUACCGCAUACUAUCGGAUAACCCAUAUGGGAUUAGCUAGUAGGUGGGGUAAAGGCUCACCUAGGCGACGAUCUCUAGCUGUGCUGAGAGGAUGAUCAUCCACAUUGGGACUGGGAAACGGCCCAGAGUCCUACGGAGGCAGCGGUGGGGAAUAUUGCACAAUGGGCGCAGGCCUGAUGCAGCCAUGCCGCGUGUAUGCAGAAGGCCUUAGGGUUGUAAAGUACUUUCAGUCGGGAGGCGUUACCGACAGAAGAAGCACCGGCUAACUCCGUGCCAGCAGCCGCGGUAAUAC